This 222-nucleotide long non-coding RNA is filed under the name Spirodela polyrhiza (greater duckweed). RNAcentral describes it as "long non-coding RNA (SPOL_LNC000538)". The record is from RNAcentral. Lineage: Eukaryota; Viridiplantae; Streptophyta; Magnoliopsida; Alismatales; Araceae.
UCAAGUUUCCUCUCAACGGCUAUCACUACCAUCACCAUUACUAAGAGACACCCUUGCUGCUGAUUGCGCUCUUUGCCUCCUCUUUGCAUGUCGUUAUUCAUCGCCAAUAGAUGCCACCAUCCACGACUCCCCAUGGUCAAACCCUUUUGUGAGGCCUCCUUUGGGCUAUUUGUAGCCACCGUGGUUGUGCAUCUACUGCCUCUUGCAUGUUACGAUUCACCC